AUUGAACGCUGGCGGCAUGCCUUACACAUGCAAGUCGAACGGCAGCACGGGUGCUUGCACCUGGUGGCGAGUGGCGAACGGGUGAGUAAUACAUCGGAACAUGUCCUGUAGUGGGGGAUAGCCCGUCGAAAGCCGGAUUAAUACCGCAUACGAUCUACGGAUGAAAGCGGGGGACCUUCGGGCCUCUCGCUAUAGGGUUGGCCGAUGGCUGAUUAGCUAGUUGGUGGGGUAAAGGCCUACCAAGGCGACGAUCAGUAGCUGGUCUGAGAGGACGACCAGCCACACUGGGACUGAGACACGGCCCAGACUCCUACGGGAGGCAGCAGUGGGGAAUUUUGGACAAUGGGCGAAAGCCUGAUCCAGCAAUGCCGCGUGUGUGAAGAAGGCCUUCGGGUUGUAAAGCACUUUUGUCCGGAAAGAAAUCCUUGGCCCUAAUACGGUCGGGGGAUGACGGUACCGGAAGAAUAAGCACCGGCUAACUACGUG
Molecule: ribosomal RNA, 486 nt
Filed under: uncultured bacterium
Lineage: Bacteria
Description: partial 16S ribosomal RNA
Rfam family: Bacterial small subunit ribosomal RNA
Source: RNAcentral